Long non-coding RNA from Haliotis rubra (blacklip abalone), 721 nucleotides. RefSeq lists it as uncharacterized. The transcript is spliced from 3 exons. Lineage: Eukaryota; Metazoa; Mollusca; Gastropoda; Lepetellida; Haliotidae. The record is from RefSeq and is a predicted model, not a curated record.
CGGAGAAAUGGAACCGUCACACAUGGCAAAAACCUACAAACAAAAAUAACAUGGACAUUUGAUAACUCUUAUGGUUGAUAGGUUCCUGAUUUUGGUUAGAAUGGAAGUUACCAAUCCUUUCCUACUGAGCUGUUGUGCAUUAACAGUCGCAGCUUUCAAUAAAACUCACUGUUAUGUAUUCUGUCUUUCACUUAUGACUUAUCAGCCUGAAAGUAAAGCUGAUGUCAGAUACAGAGUAUCCUUCAUACAGAUCAAGUUGAUGGAGUCCAAGUGCUGCUGAUGGUGGUGGCUGAUUAUCAAACUGAGGCUGGGGUGCAAGCAUUAGGGCAGCAAGCAAAGAGGUCAAAGGUUACCUGGUUCGGUGGCAUCCUCCAACCACAACCGGGCAGAGGGAGCCCGUCAGGACCGAUGGGACAGGGAGCGUCUAGCCCGGGGCUGCCCUGCACAGGGAGGAGAGUUAGUGCGGUUAGUGGCGAGACAGACAACAUGGAGGCCACCACCUGGGUUAUGUAUAUCGAUAUUGGGCAGCAGCAACCACAGGCAGUCAAGUGGUGCAUGUCAUCAGGUCAAGGUUGAACUGAGGUGAGAGGUCAUGACCUUGCCUGUGUGGAAGUACAGGUGUGACAAGGUGUAGAUGAUCCACACCUAGUGUCUAGAGGAAUGUGUGUGUGUGUGUCUGUGUGACAACAUAUAAAAGCAAUAAAACAAUGUGAGAAGCAAA